CGGACGGGUGAGUAACACGUGGAUAACCUACCUAUAAGACUGGGAUAACUUCGGGAAACCGGAGCUAAUACCGGAUAAUAUUUUGAACCGCAUGGUUCAAAAGUGAAAGACGGUCUUGCUGUCACUUAUAGAUGGAUCCGCGCUGCAUUAGCUAGUUGGUAAGGUAACGGCUUACCAAGGCAACGAUGCAUAGCCGACCUGAGGAGGGUGAUCGGCCACACUGGGACUGAGACACGGUCCAG
RNAcentral lists this ribosomal RNA (242 nucleotides) under uncultured Staphylococcus sp. RNAcentral describes it as "partial 16S ribosomal RNA". It matches the Rfam family "Bacterial small subunit ribosomal RNA", at positions 99 to 334 of the family's 1533-position model. The record is from RNAcentral. Lineage: Bacteria; Bacillati; Bacillota; Bacilli; Caryophanales; Staphylococcaceae.